RNAcentral lists this ribosomal RNA (732 nucleotides) under uncultured bacterium. Its description in RNAcentral is "bacterial SSU rRNA". It matches the Rfam family "Bacterial small subunit ribosomal RNA", at positions 1 to 731 of the family's 1533-position model. The record is from RNAcentral.
CGGGGACUUACUNGCCUCGAAUGAUCAGAGGGUUUAAUGANCAUGGCUCAGGAUGNCCGCUAGUUAAGUGCUAAUGCAUGCAAGUCGAACGGGAGGGGUUAAUUUCGGUUGACCCCGAGAGUGGCGAACGGGUGCGUAACACGUAGAUGACCUACCCUGGAGAGGGGGACAACCACGGGAAACUGUGGCUAAUACCCCGGAUGACUGGAGGAUUAAAGCCUCUGGUCUAAAGGCUCCGGCGCUCUGGGAGGGGUCUGCGGCCAUCAGCUAGUUGGUAGGGUAAAGGCCUACCAAGGCGAAGACGGGUAGGGGGCGUGAGAGCGUGGCCCCCCACACUGGUACUGAAAGACGGACCAGAUACCUACGGGUAGCAGCAGCAAGGGAUAUUGCGCAAUGGGCGAAAGCCUGACGCAGCAACGCCGCGUGGAGGACGAAGGCCUUCGGGUUGUAAACUCCUUUUCUGGAAGAAAUAAGGCUUGUCAAAGGGCAGGCUUGCAGGUACUCCAGGAAGAAGAACCGGCUAACUACGUGCCAGCAGCCGCGGUAAAAACGUAGCGGUUCGAGCGUUGUCCGGAAUAUACUGGGCGUAAAGGGCGUGUAGGCGGCUUAGGAAGGUCGGGACGUUACACACAGCUCCCCGGACCCCAAACUUGGGCAGAAGGGGCCCCGGUUUUCGGAAGGCAACUNCUUUUGGAAGGCCUUAAGAAAGGGGCCUUUAAAGGUUUAACAGGA